Oryzias melastigma (Indian medaka) is the source of this 551-nucleotide long non-coding RNA. RefSeq lists it as uncharacterized. The record is from RefSeq and is a predicted model, not a curated record. Lineage: Eukaryota; Metazoa; Chordata; Actinopteri; Beloniformes; Adrianichthyidae. The transcript is spliced from 3 exons.
ACAAGAGCUUGGUGGUGAAACCUGCACGAACAGCCAAGAAGAAAAGCGAUCCUCGCUGCAGCUAAAGAACACCGCCGGCUCGGACUUCUAUCGGGCUAAAUCUGGUGUCAACAAACUGGCCGACUCUUAAAGGACCUGGCCGAAGGAACCUUUCCCGAUGACCUCCAGAACCUCAAACCUGUAGGCGAUGUGGUCGUGCAGCACCUGGAGGACGACAGGAGGAACAGCGUCAGCGUCUGGACGGCCUCCUGGUCAUUCUCUGGAGUCUCCAGGCGGAUGUGUUCAUGUUUCUCUGGGAUUGAUCCAGAGUGUUUAGGACAGGCUCCAGCAACCGGUCAGGUUUGGAAAAUCUAUCAUUAAGUUUAUAAAGUGAUAUAAAUGGACUAAAAUAAAAAUAACACACUAAUCUCACAGUCGAUCAUACCCAGCAUCCUCCACGGUUACAGAGCUAUCUGUCCUCAGCUUUGGUCUAAUUUAGAGCCGACUCCUGAUCCAACAGUUUGUCUUCGGCAGCCUUCAAGCACUGACACACGUGUUAAUGCGGGGGGUUU